CUGCUUCGUAACGAUUGAGCUUUUGUGUGUGAUGUUCUAGGGUUUUUCUCGUAUUGCUCGCUUUCUACAAUCUUGAUGUCUUUCUCAGUAAAUCUCUAGAAUGUUGGUUUUGAAUUUUUUUGAUAAACGAUUAGAUAGAGGAAAUUGUAAAGAUUACAUAGUCUUAGUGUUCGAAACAAAGGCGAGAGGAAACUGAAGAAAUCUAUGAUAUACAUUUGCACUGGUUUUUGGUGAUUUCUUAGUAGAAUUGGGCGUAAUCUACUUGUAAAUGCUCAAUGGGUGAGUAGGCUUGAAUCUGAACAUUUGGGCCUUUGUGACGAAAAUUCUUCGUGUUCAUUUACUUUUCUGCAAAUGGUUGUUAAAAUUCUUAGUGAAUUUGAUUCUGGGACCAACAAGUGGUAUCAAAGCAGAAAAUUCUGUCCAUCGGGCGUUAGGGUUUGAUUUUUUCAAAACUCUAGUUUACGUUUUCGGAACUGGAAACUGUUAAAUUUUUUAAUGAUUUCUAGAAUAAAUCGUCUUCAAAAGUUUUCUCCUAGUAAAAUUGUUCUUCAAUACAACCUUUGGUUGGAUUUUUUUUUUCAAUGAUCUAGUGUUUUCCAAACUGUUGAUGAAAACUAGAGUUGGGUCUUUUUGAUCUUGAACUUUUUUGAGAAAGACCUUUCGAUUUGCUUCUGAUUUGGAUGUUUCUUGCUGUUUACUGAGUUUUGGCGAUUUGACUCUUUACUCACCACAGAGUUGGUGUGAUAUCUUAAAAAUCGUCCUCAGUGCUAGUAAGUUGGGCUGACUCACUGAAAGUUUUUAUGUUAUUCUUGACUUAUUGUUGAGUUGUGUUGAGUCACUGUGACAUGUGGAGCAUUUGUGCAUAACUCUGAAUUUUAGUACUGGUUCUAAUAUUUCAUCCCUAUCUUUCUGUACUGAAACUUCAAAGUUUCAACUUUGGUAUAAUUCUCCAUACUUUUACUUUUGUUCAGACACAAUAAAAUGUUAUUGUUGAAUUUUUGACCUGGCUAUUAAGGUAAUUGAUCUACCAUUGCUUUUCUUUGUUCAAGAUCUCUUAAGAGGAUCUGAAAAUCUGAGGGAGUAGUGGAUCUACCUGUCAUCACCUCUUAAACCUGUCAAACUAACAAUACAAUCAUUUAUAUCGAUCUGAGUUGGUCAUUGCACUGUUAUAUAAUUCUGAAUUGCUUGGAUUAUGCUUUUAUAAACUGUGUAAAUUGCAUGGUAAGAAGAAUUUUUUGUAAUACUCUGUCUUAUUUUGAAAUUUGAAUAUCUUAUAAUCUCCUUAGUUUGCUUGCAUCUAUUAUACUCUGUGUAUUGUAUAAAUCUGAUUAUGUGACUUUAUCUAGUGUUAUGACAAUUGCACACAAAUUUAAAGGGACCAAGGAUGUUAAUCUCUGACAUCAAAAGAUGAAGGCUCUAUUCUUACAACAGAGGUGUGUUGCUGCUCUUGAUGGAUCAUGGGGUAUUGAAAUUAGUGUCUAUAGGAGACAAUAAUUAGGUGAGGUCGCUUGGAGUACAAUCUUCCUAUGUUUGAUAGUGUGAAAACAAAGAUUGGGGAAACUAUAACUAUUGCAGCCUUGUGGACUAAUUUAGGUUGCCUCUACUUAACUAAGACAAUGCCUAAUAAAUACUAUCUCCUUAGACAAUUCUAUAAUUUCAGAUUUGAUACCUUCUCUAUUUUAGAAGAAAACAUUGAUAAAUUCACUAAAUUGAUUCAAGAUCUUGCUAAUUGUGAUAAGAAGCUAUCUGAUGAUCAACAAACUGUUGAUCUGUUGAAUGCUUUAGGUGAUAAAUAUAGAGAACUUAGAAAUGCUUUAGAAUAUAGAAGAGAGGAUUUGACCAUUGAUAUUAUUACCUCAGCCUUAAGGAAUAGAGAACUUGAACUAAGUGCUGAAGUCAAGGACUUCAAAUUUGGAGAAGGGCUAAACAUUAAAGAAAAGUUGAAUCAAAAUAAAAAGAGAAAUCAAUGCAAUUUUAACUCUCUAAAAGCGAGGAGAUCUCAAACUUCCAAAUUUAGAAAUAAGUUCAAGAGUCAACUGACAUCUAAGAAUCAAGAUAGAAAAUGUUAUUAUUGUGGUAAAACUAGACAUCUUAUGAAAGAUUAUUUCAAAAAGAUAUCUUAUAUGAAAGGAAAACCUAAUUCUGAUGGGUUAGCUUGGAAUGGUGAUUUGAAGUGCAAGGUGUUGUCCUUGUUACUUCAACUAAAAGAAACCCAAAGGAAUGAGGUCUUGACUUUGGCUGUUCUUUUCAUAUGUAUCCCACUAAAGAAUGGUUUACCGAGUUUAAUGAUUUGAAUGGUGGUCAAGUCGAAAUGGGCAAUGAUAUGACUUGCAGAAUAAAAGGUAUUGGUAAAGUUAACCUUCUGUUGAAAAACAAUCAUAUUCUUGAAUUUUCCUUAACAAGAUAUGUUCCUUAGCAUCAGAGGAAUAUGAUUUUCUUAGGUAAAUUGGAUAAUAAAUAUGAGAUUAGAAUCCAUAUAGGAUUUACCAAAUUGAAUCUCAAUUCUAGAAAGAUAAUCUCCCCGACCAAGGUUAUGAAAUCUACGCACUUCGAGUUGAACCAUUAGUUGGAAUCUAUUAGCUACUAUUCAAUCCUCUGAUAUAUAUCUAUAAUCCGGCAUAAAAGACUAUGGCAUGUUAGUGAAAAUGGAUUGAUGAUUAUUAACGAACUUGAAUGUUUUGGAAAAGAUGAUAUUAAGAGUUUGAAAUUUAGAGAAGAUUGUGUCAUUGAAAAACAGAACAAACUAUCCUUUAGAACAAGAAUUCAUAAAUCCACAUCAAUACUUGAUUAUUUACAUGCUAACUUUUGGGGUCCAGCAUCAUCAAGCAUUUUGAGUGGAUUUAGAUUAUAUCUACUGAUUGUAGAUGAUUUUUCAAGAAAAAUUAGGACUUUCCUUUUAAAAACAAAAUUUGGCACCUUCCAAAAUUUUAAAUAAUGGAAAUUGAUGAUUGAAAAUCAAACAAAUAAGAAAAUCAAAGCACUUAAAACAGAUAAUAGGCUUGAAUUUUGUAAAACUGAAUUUGAUCUCUUUUGUAAAGAAUUUUGUAUCUUAAGGCAUAAAACAACAACAUAUUUGCUGAGAGAAUAAACAAAACUUUACUUGAAAAAGUUAGACGUAUGUUGUUAAGUUUCGGCCUUCCAAAACUAUUUUGGGUUGAAGCCUUAACGACUGCCACUUAUCUGGUAAAUAAGAUUCCUUCUAGUGUUAUUGAUUGCAAAAUCUCUAAAUUACUAUGGUCUGGAAUGUUUCCAAAUUAUUCUAAACUUAAAGUAUUUGGUUGUGUUACUUACUUACACCAGAAUGAAGACAAACUUGAACCCAGAUAUCUAAAAUGUAUUUUCUUGGGUUAUGGUCAAGAGACUUAGGGAUAUAAGCUUUGGAUAAGGGAACAACAUAGCUUUAAAGUCACCGUAAGUAGAAAUAUUAUCUUCAAUGAAAAUGUCUUUCCUUGUAAUAGUUCUAAGAACCAUAAACAACAUGAAUCUUUCAUUGUUAAAGAAACCUUUUUGGAAAGAAAUUAAGAUAAUUCUGCUGAACCCAUUGAUAUUAUUGAGGUAGAGACCACUCAACCUGAAACAGAUCAACCUGAAAAUGAAUCUAAAAAUGAAUCCUAGACUAAGACCCUGUCAGACUAUUAGUUCACCAGAGACAAAGCUAGAAAAAAAUAGGCAUUCUUCCACCGGAAUUAAUAUUGAUGAAUUUGUUACCUUCUACUUGGAAUUAAAAUCUGUUAAUUCUAAACCCACAACUUUCGAAGAAACCAUUAACUAUAAAGAAUCCAAACUGUGGAUGGGGGCUUUGAGAGAAGAAAUUGACUCCUUAAUUAGAAAUAAGACAUGGAUUUUGGUUAAUAAACCAAAAAAUCAAAAAGUUGUUGAUUGUAAGUGGGUCUACAAAGUGAAAGAAGGAGACUCUAAUAAUGAAGGUAAAAGAUAUAAGGUCAGAUAGUGGCCAAGUGUUUUAUACAAAGAGAGAGUGUACACUAUAAUGAACUCAUCUCGUCUAUUGCUAAAUACACUUCCAUUAGAAUUUUGCUUGCUCGUUUCUGUACACUUCAACUGGGAAUUGGGUCAACUUGAUGUCAAAACUGUCAUUUUAAAUAAUGACCUUGAUGAAACAAUUUACAUUAAUCAUGUCUAUCUUUUGAAAAAGUCACUUUAUGGUUUGAAGCAAGCACCUAGGCAAUGAUAUAAGAAAUUUAACUCAUACAUUUAAAGCAUGGGAUUAUCUUAGAGAAGUUUUGAUUCAUGUCUUUACUUCAACAGCUCAGGUGGAUCGGAUUCCAUCUAAUUACUCUUAUAGAUUGAUGAUAUGCUUUUUGCUUGUCAUGAUAUAUCUGAAGUUGAUUUUGUCUAAUCAAGAUUAAAGGCUGAAUUUGAAAUGAAAGAUCUGAGACAAUCUAAAAGAAUCUUAGGAAUGGAAAUAAAAAGAUAUAGGAGCAAUUGUGUGCUCUAUGUAAAACAAUCUGCCUCGGUGAAAAAAGGUUUUAGAGAAAUUCUUUAUGAUUGAAAGUAAACAUGUAUCUUUACCUAUUGCAAAUUACUUUAAAUUAUCAAGUGAACAAUCUCCUCAAAUUGAUGAAGAAUAUGAUAGGAUGAGUAAAAUACCAUAUGCAAAUGUUGUUGACUCAAUUAUGUAUUUUAUGAUAUGUUCUAGACUUGAUUUAGCUCAUGGUAUUAGUAUUUUGAAUAGAUUUAGGGCUAAAACUCACUGGUUAGCAAUAAAAUGGAUGUUAAGAUACUGAAGGAGUUCACUUGACUUAGGUUUAAAAUUUCAAAGGUGUAAUGAAGGUAUGAUUUUGAAAGGAUAUAAUGAUUCUAACUUUGCAGGUGAUUUGGAUAAAAGAAUAUCAACCUCUCCUUGUGUUUUUACCCUCAGUGAUGGUUGUAUAAGUUGGAAAUCUCAGCUACUAAACUUGUAGCUUUAUCUUCCACUGAAGUCGAAUACAUUGCAGCGUGUGAUGCUAUGAAAGAAAGACUAUGGCUGAUCUAUUGAUUGAAAGUGGUUUUAUGAAUGAAGUAGUUAGAAUUUUUAUAGAUAAUCAAAGUGCCAUACACUUCAAGUAAAAAUUCUGCAUAUCAUGAUAGAACUAAAAGUUUCACUUCGUAAAAAACAUGGUUGAAGUAGGAAUGAUAAAUCUGGUUAAAAUUCCAACCGAAUAUAAUCCUUUUGAUAUCGGUACUAAAAUUCUACCUUUGAACAAGAUUAAAAAUUGCUUAACAAUUCUGAAUAUUAUGUGAAAGAAACAAAUUUAUUAGUGAAUUUUUCUUUACUUUUCUGUUUUCUGAGCCUUCACUAAUUUUUUUCUAGGUAACUUUAGAGCAAAUGAAACUUGCUAGUAAUGUUUGAUUCCAAUAAAAUGAUCUAUGAAUAGUUUAUCAAGUUGGAGAUUGUUGGAUUUGGGCCUGAUGCUUCACUAUUCAUUAGGCUCUAGUUUUUUGGCAUUGGGCUAUUUUUAAUUGGCUUAUUGAUGAUCAUGUUUGGCCCUUUGAUCAUCCGUUACCAAAUUGCGUUUCAGUAACACCACUUUGGCCUCUAGAGAUACUUUUGUUCUGGACCCUCCAUCUACUAGAAUUAUAGCCGUUGGAUCUGUGGUUACACGUGGAAUAUAUAAAGCCUCUCUCUCCUCAUAACGAUUGAGUUUUCAUGUGUGAUGUUAUAGGAGUUUUCUCAUUUUGCUCUCUCUCAGUAAUCUUGAUGUCUUUCUCCAUAAAUCUUUUGAGUGUUGGUUUUGAUUAUUUUUGGUAAAUGAUUAGUGAGAGGAAAUUGUAAAGAUUACGGUGCUUGUGUUUGAAAGAGAAGCGAGAGGAAACUGACUGGUUCUUGGUGAUUUCUUAGUAGAAUUGAGCUUAAUUUACUUGUAGAUGCUCUUCCAGCAUCCUUGCCCUUGACAGUUGGAUUAGUCGAGCUAAGGACCCUGUGAAACUGAUUUGAAUUCAAAUCCAUUUGAGAUCGAUGGCUCGGGCCUCAAUGCAUCCUUUAUGAGUUGACUAAGUCUCUAUAAGUCAAAAAGCUUUGUAGAGGAGAUUCCCAUGAGAGACAUAAAGAUUGACUAGACAGAAGGAUUCAUGUAGCGGAAUGACACGUAUUCGCAGUCCUCUACACCAGAUGGAUGAGUAGGCUUGAAACUGAACAUCCGGGCCUUUGUGGAGAAAAUUCUUCUUGUUCAUUUAAUUUUUUGCAAACGGUUGUUAAAAUUAUUUGGGAAUUCGAUUCUGAGACCAACAUGUACUAUACCAUUGAUCUACAUUGGAAAGAGAACUACUACUAGUUUAUGUACUACCAAACUACUAGUUUAUGCACUACCAAAAAGGCAUUUUUUUUUUUUUUAUUUCAAGCUCUCUAAAGUCUAAACAGAUAUUGUUUUUAGCA
Molecule: long non-coding RNA, 6373 nt
Filed under: Olea europaea subsp. europaea
Lineage: Eukaryota; Viridiplantae; Streptophyta; Magnoliopsida; Lamiales; Oleaceae
Source: RNAcentral